Molecule: ribosomal RNA, 305 nt
Filed under: uncultured bacterium
Lineage: Bacteria
Description: bacterial SSU rRNA
Rfam family: Bacterial small subunit ribosomal RNA
Source: RNAcentral
CAGCGCCUACGGGAGGCAGCAGUGAGGAAUAUUGGUCAAUGGGCGGAAGCCUGAACCAGCCAAGUCGCGUGAGGGAAUAAGGCCCUACGGGUCGUAAACCUCUUUUGCCGGGGAGCAAGGGCGGGGACGUGUCCCGGCCCGGAGAGUACCCGGAGAAAAAGCAUCGGCUAACUCCGUGCCAGCAGCCGCGGUAAUACGGAGGAUGCGAGCGUUAUCCGGAUUUAUUGGGUUUAAAGGGUGCGUAGGCGGUCGGAUAAGUUAGAGGGGAAAUCCCGAGGCUCAACUUCGGAAUUGGCUCUGUAACU